AUAUGAGGCCCAGUUAGUGGCCUCGCUAACCUGGGGAGGUUAGGUAUCCAUCUGGGUAGCGGUAGCUCCGCCCCUCUGGAGAGACGGCGACCAGAGGCCGGGUUGUCAGACCCGGUCGGGACCGUCUC
Molecule: non-coding RNA, 128 nt
Filed under: unclassified sequences
Description: LAGLIDADG-2 RNA
Rfam family: LAGLIDADG-2 RNA
About the family: Halobacteria (Archaea). Nearby to self-splicing intron genes
Source: Rfam by way of RNAcentral